UACGAAGGGUGCAAGCGUUACUCGGAAUUACUGGGCGUAAAGCGUGCGUAGGUGGUUUGUUAAGUCUGUUGUGAAAUCCCCGGGCUUAACCUGGGAAUGGCAUUUGGGACUGCAAGGCUGGAGUACGGCAGAGGAGACUGGAAUUCCUGGUGUAGCAGUGAAAUUCGUAGAUAUUGGGAAGAACACCGGUGGCGAAGGCGGCGACCUGGUCCGAUACUGACGCUGAGGCGCGAAAGCGUGGGGAGCAAACAGG
RNAcentral lists this ribosomal RNA (253 nucleotides) under uncultured bacterium. Its description in RNAcentral is "partial 16S ribosomal RNA". It matches the Rfam family "Bacterial small subunit ribosomal RNA", at positions 524 to 776 of the family's 1533-position model. The record is from RNAcentral.